This 301-nucleotide ribosomal RNA is filed under the name uncultured bacterium. RNAcentral describes it as "partial 16S ribosomal RNA". It matches the Rfam family "Bacterial small subunit ribosomal RNA", at positions 509 to 807 of the family's 1533-position model. The record is from RNAcentral.
CAGCAGCCGCGGUAAUACGAAGGGGGCUAGCGUUGUUCGGAAUUACUGGGCGUAAAGGGCGCGUAGGCGGCCAUUCAAGUUAGAUGUGAAAGCCCUGGGCUCAACCUAGGAAUUGCAUUUGAUACUGUUUGGCUUGAGUUCGGGAGAGGUGAGUGGAAUUCCCAGUGUAGAGGUGAAAUUCGUAGAUAUUGGGAAGAACGCCAGUGGCGAAGGCGGCUCACUGGACCGACACUGACGCUGAGGCGCGAAAGCGUGGGGAGCAAACAGGAUUAGAUACCCCCGUAGUCCCUGUCUCUUAUAC